Molecule: ribosomal RNA, 1124 nt
Filed under: uncultured bacterium
Lineage: Bacteria
Description: bacterial SSU rRNA
Rfam family: Bacterial small subunit ribosomal RNA
Source: RNAcentral
AUUGAUUUUAUGCUUGCAUAAAUGAUUUUUUGGAUUCGGAGCGAGUGGCGAACUGGUGAGUAACACGUGGGUAACCUGCCCCGAAGCGGGGGAUAACAUUUGGAAACAAGUGCUAAUACCGCAUAAUUAGUUGGAACCGCAUGGUUCCAACUUGAAAGAUGGCUCUGCUAUCACUUUGGGAUGGACCCGCGCCGUAUUAGUUAGUUGGUGAGAUAAAAGCCCACCAAGACGAUGAUACGUAGCCGACCUGAGAGGGUAAUCGGCCACAUUGGGACUGAGACACGGCCCAGACUCCUACGGGAGGCAGCAGUAGGGAAUCUUCCACAAUGGACGAAAGUCUGAUGGAGCAACGCCGCGUGAGUGAUGAAGGUUUUCGGAUCGUAAAACUCUGUUGUUAAAGAAGAACAAGUGUUAGAGUAACUGUUAACACUUUGACGGUAUUUAGCCAGAAAGCCACGGCUAACUACGUGCCAGCAGCCGCGGUAAUACGUAGGUGGCAAGCGUUGUCCGGAUUUAUUGGGCGUAAAGCGAGCGCAGGCGGUUUUGUAAGUCUGCUGUGAAAGCCCUCAGCUCAACUGAGGAAGUGCAGUGGAAACUACAAAACUUGAGUACAGAAGAGGAAAGUGGAACUCCAUGUGUAGCGGUGAAAUGCGUAGAUAUAUGGAAGAACACCAGUGGCGAAGGCGGCUUUCUGGUCUGUUACUGACGCUGAGGCUCGAAAGCAUGGGUAGCGAACAGGAUUAGAUACCCUGGUAGUCCAUGCCGUAAACGAUGAAUACUAGGUGUUGGAGGGUUUCCGCCCUUCAGUGCCGCAGCUAACGCAUUAAGUAUUCCGCCUGGGGAGUACGACCGCAAGGUUGAAACUCAAAGGAAUUGACGGGGGCCCGCACAAGCGGUGGAGCAUGUGGUUUAAUUCGAUGCUACGCGAAGAACCUUACCAGCUCUUGACAUCUUCUGCCAACCCAAGAGAUUGGGCGUUCCCUUCGGGGACAGAAUGACAGGUGGUGCAUGGUUGUCGUCAGCUCGUGUCGUGAGAUGUUGGGUUAAGUCCCGCAACGAGCGCAACCCUUAUUAUUAGUUGCCAGCAUUUAGUUGGGCACUCUAGUGAGACUGCCGGUGAUAAA